This 851-nucleotide ribosomal RNA is filed under the name uncultured bacterium. RNAcentral's name for it is "bacterial SSU rRNA". It matches the Rfam family "Bacterial small subunit ribosomal RNA", at positions 8 to 890 of the family's 1533-position model. The record is from RNAcentral.
AGAGUUUGAUCAUGGCUCAGAAUCAACGCUGGCGGCGCGCUUAACACAUGCAAGUCGAGCGAGAAAAGGGGAGCAAUCUCCUGAGUACAGCGGCGUACGGGUGAGUAACACGUGGGUAAUCUACCUUUUAGUGGGGAAUAACCCUGGGAAACCGGGGCUAAUACCGCAUAAUCCUGUGAAGGGAAAGCAGCAAUGCGCUGAAAGAGGAGCCCGCGGCCGAUUAGCUAGUUGGUGAGGUAACGGCCCACCAAGGCGACGAUCGGUAGCCGGCCUGAGAGGGCACACGGCCACACUGGCACUGAAACACGGGCCAGACUCCUACGGGAGGCAGCAGUGGGGAAUCUUGCACAAUGGGGGAAACCCUGAUGCAGCGACGCCGCGUGAGCGAUGAAGCCCCUCGGGGUGUAAAGCUCUUUCGGCAGGAACGAUAAUGACGGUACCUGAAGAAGAAGCUGCGGCUAACUACGUGCCAGCAGCCGCGGUAAUACGUAGGCAGCGAGCGUUGUUCGGAAUUACUGGGCGUAAAGAGUGUGUAGGCGGUGCCCUAAGUUCGGUGUGAAAUCUCCCGGCUCAACUGGGAGGGUGCGCCGGAAACUGGGGUGCUCGAACGUGGGAGAGGAAAGCGGAAUUCCUGGUGUAGCGGUGAAAUGCGUAGAUAUCAGGAGGAACACCUGCGGUGUAGACGGCUUUCUGGACCAUUGUUGACGCUGAGACACGAAAGCGUGGGUAGCAAACAGGAUUAGAUACCCUGGUAGUCCACGCCCUAAACGAUGCAUACUUGGUGUCGGCCAUUCAGUUGGUCGGUGCCGGAGCUAACGCGUUAAGUAUGCCGCCUGGGGAGUACGGUCGCA